ACCAGUACCGUGAGGGAAAGGCGAAAAGAACCCCGGCGAGGGGAGUGAAAAGAACCUGAAACCGUGUACGUACAAGCAGUGGGAGCAUCCUUCGGGGUGUGACUGCGUACCUUUUGUAUAAUGGGUCAGCGACUUAUAUUCUGUAGCAAGGUUAACCGUAUAGGGGAGCCGCAGGGAAACCGAGUCUUAACUGGGCGUUAAGUUGCAGGGUAUAGACCCGAAACCCGGUGAUCUAGCCAUGGGCAGGUUGAAGGUUGGGUAACACUAACUGGAGGACCGAACCGACUAAUGUUGAAAAAUUAGCGGAUGACUUGUGGCUGGGGGUGAAAGGCCAAUCAAACCGGGAGAUAGCUGGUUCUCCCCGAAAGCUAUUUAGGUAGCGCCUCGUGAAUUCAUCUCCGGGGGUAGAGCACUGUUUCGGCUAGGGGGCCAUCCCGGCUUAC
RNAcentral lists this ribosomal RNA (443 nucleotides) under Erwinia sp. S38. RNAcentral describes it as "partial 23S ribosomal RNA". It matches the Rfam family "Bacterial large subunit ribosomal RNA", at positions 494 to 939 of the family's 2925-position model. The record is from RNAcentral. Lineage: Bacteria; Pseudomonadati; Pseudomonadota; Gammaproteobacteria; Enterobacterales; Erwiniaceae.